GGGCCGGUAGCUCAGCCUGGAAGAGUGUCCGGCUUGCAACCGGAAGGUCCCGGGUUCAAAUCCCGGCCGGUCCA
RNAcentral lists this transfer RNA (74 nucleotides) under Acidianus ambivalens. RNAcentral describes it as "tRNA-Ala". It matches the Rfam family "tRNA". From Rfam's summary of the family: Transfer RNA (tRNA) molecules are approximately 80 nucleotides in length. Their secondary structure includes four short double-helical elements and three loops (D, anti-codon, and T loops). RNAcentral also lists the same sequence under 4 other names. Lineage: Archaea; Thermoproteati; Thermoproteota; Thermoprotei; Sulfolobales; Sulfolobaceae. The record is from RNAcentral.